Molecule: ribosomal RNA, 502 nt
Filed under: uncultured bacterium
Lineage: Bacteria
Description: partial 16S ribosomal RNA
Rfam family: Bacterial small subunit ribosomal RNA
Source: RNAcentral
AUUGAACGCUGGCGGCAUGCCUUACACAUGCAAGCCGAACGGCAGCACGGGAGCUUGCUCCUGGUGGCGAGUGGCGAACGGGUGAGUAAUACAUCGGAACGUACCCAGUAGUGGGGGAUAACGCACCGAAAGGUGCGCUAAUACCGCAUACGACCUAAGGGUGAAAGCGGGGGACCGUAAGGCCUCGCGCUAUUGGAGCGGCCGAUGUCUGAUUAGCUAGUUGGUGAGGUAAAGGCUUACCAAGGCGACGAUCGGUAGCUGGUCUGAGAGGAUGACCAGCCACACUGGAACUGAGACACGGUUCAGACUCCUACGGGAGGCAGCAGUAGGGAAUAUUGGACAAUGGGGGAAACCCUGAUCCAGCGACGCCGCGUGAGUGAUGAAGGCCUUCGGGUCGUAAAGCUCUGUUGUACGGGAAGAAGAGUACAUAGCUAAUACCUGUGUGCUUUGACGGUACCGUAUAAGAAAGGACCGGCUAACUUCGUGCCAGCAGCCGCAGUAA